This 67-nucleotide transfer RNA is filed under the name Gerbilliscus leucogaster (Bushveld gerbil). RNAcentral describes it as "tRNA-Cys". Lineage: Eukaryota; Metazoa; Chordata; Mammalia; Rodentia; Muridae. The record is from RNAcentral.
AGCCUUAAGGUGAUAGUCAUGUUGAAUUGCAAAUUCGAAGGUGUAGAGCAAGAGUCUACUGAGGCUU